RNAcentral lists this ribosomal RNA (238 nucleotides) under uncultured bacterium. Its description in RNAcentral is "partial 16S ribosomal RNA". It matches the Rfam family "Bacterial small subunit ribosomal RNA", at positions 539 to 776 of the family's 1533-position model. The record is from RNAcentral.
CGUUGUCCGGAUUUAUUGGGCGUAAAGAGCGUGUAGGCGGCUGGGUAGGUCUGCUGUGAAAACUCGAGGCUCAACCUCGAGACGUCGGCGGAAACCCUCCAGCUAGAGUCCGGAAGAGGAGAAUGGAAUUCCUGGUGUAGCGGUGAAAUGCGCAGAUAUCAGGAAGAACACCCGUGGCGAAGGCGGUUCUCUGGGACGGUACUGACGCUGAGACGCGAAAGCGUGGGGAGCGAACAGG